RNAcentral lists this long non-coding RNA (220 nucleotides) under Phaseolus vulgaris (common bean). RNAcentral's name for it is "long non-coding RNA (PVUL_LNC001610)". The record is from RNAcentral. Lineage: Eukaryota; Viridiplantae; Streptophyta; Magnoliopsida; Fabales; Fabaceae.
GAAAAGUGAGGAAAGAAAAAUUGAAAGGGAAGAGAAAAAUAAGAGUGAAGAGGGAGAAGAGAAGGAAAAAACUGAGAGGGUAUAGGAAGAAAAGAAGAAAAAGGAAAAAGAAAAUGAAAAAAAAAAGUGUUCCAAUUGUAGAUUUACCUUAUCCACAUGCUCCCUCCAGAAAGAAUAUAGAAGGAUAGUUUAUUAGAUUCUGUGAAAUUCUGAAACAAUU